RNAcentral lists this ribosomal RNA (869 nucleotides) under uncultured archaeon. RNAcentral describes it as "bacterial SSU rRNA". It matches the Rfam family "Archaeal small subunit ribosomal RNA", at positions 1 to 878 of the family's 1478-position model. The record is from RNAcentral.
CUCCCGGUUGAUCCUGCCGGACCCGACUGCUAUCAGAGUGGGACUAAGCCAUGCGAGUCAACAUAGCAAUAUGUGGCAUACGGCUCAGUAACACGUAGUCAACAUGCCCAGGGGACGUGGAUAACCUCGGGAAACUGAGGAUAAACCGCGAUAGGUCAUCACUUCUGGAAUGGGUAAUGACUUAAAUCUAUAUGGCCCCUGGAUUGGACUGCGGCCGAUCAGGCUGUUGGUGAGGUAAUGGCCCACCAAACCUGUAACCGGUACGGGCUCUGAGAGGAGGAGCCCGGAGAUGGGCACUGAGACAAGGGCCCAGGCCCUAUGGGGCGCAGCAGGCGCGAAACCUCUGCAAUAGGCGAAAGCUUGACAGGGUUACUCUGAGUGAUUUCCGUUAAGGAGAUCUUUUGGCACCUCUAAAAAUGGUGCAGAAUAAGGGGUGGGCAAGUCUGGUGUCAGCCGCCGCGGUAAUACCAGCACCCCGAGUGGUCGGGACGUUUAUUGGGCCUAAAGCAUCCGUAGCCGGUUCUACAAGUCUUCCGUUAAAUCCACCUGCUUAACAGAUGGGCUGCGGAAGAUACUAUAGAGCUAGGAGGCGGGAGAGGCAAGCGGUACUCGAUGGGUAGGGGUAAAAUCCGUUGAUCCAUUGAAGACCACCAGUGGCGAAGGCGGCUUGCCAGAACGCGCUCGACGGUGAGGGAUGAAAGCUGGGGGAGCAAACCGGAUUAGAUACCCGGGUAGUCCCAGCUGUAAACGAUGCAGACUCGGUGAUGAGUUGGCUUCUUGCCAACUCAGUGCCGCAGGGAAGCCGUUAAGUUUGCCGCCUGGGGAGUACGGUCGCAAGACUGAAACUUAAAGGAAUUGGCGGGGGAGCA